UGAGGAAUAUUGGACAAUGGGCGCAAGCCUGAUCCAGCCAUGCCGCGUGCAGGAUGACGGUCCUAUGGAUUGUAAACUGCUUUUGUACAGGAAGAAACAGUUCUACGUGUAGAACCUUGACGGUACUGUAAGAAUAAGGAUCGGCUAACUCCGUGCCAGCAGCCGCGGUAAUACGGAGGAUCCAAGCGUUAUCCGGGAAUCAUUGGGUUUAAAGGGUCCGUAGGCGGUUAGAUAAGUCAGUGGUGAAAGCCCAUCGCUCAACGGUGGAACGGCCAUUGAUACUGUCUGACUUGAAUUAUUAGGAAGUAACUAGAAUAUGUAGUGUAGCGGUGAAAUGCUUAGAGAUUACAUGGAAUACCAAUUGCGAAGGCAGGUUACUACUAAUGGAUUGACGCUGAUGGACGAAAGCGUGGGUAGCGAACAGGAUUAGAUACCCGUGUAGUCCCUGAGCGGGCUGGCAAGGCGCAU
Molecule: ribosomal RNA, 468 nt
Filed under: uncultured bacterium
Lineage: Bacteria
Description: bacterial SSU rRNA
Rfam family: Bacterial small subunit ribosomal RNA
Source: RNAcentral